UUGGAGGGCAAGUCUGGUGCCAGCAGCCGCGGUAAUUCCAGCUCCAAUAGCGUAUAUUAAAGUUGUUGCAGUUAAAAAGCUCGUAGUUGAAUUUCGGGGUUAGUAGGUUGGUCAUGCCUCUGGUAUGUACUGGUCUCACUGAUUCCUCCUUCCUGAUGAACCUUAAUGCCAUUUAUUUGGUGUUUUGGGGAAUUUGGACUGUUACUUUGAAAAAAUUAGAGUGUUUAAAGCAAGCUAACGCUUGAAUACAUUAGCAUGGAAUAAUGAAAUAGGACGUUCGAUCCUAUUUUGUUGGUUUCUAGGAUUGACGUAAUGAUUAAUAGGGAUAGUUGGGGGCAUUAGUAUUCAAUUGUCAGAGGUGAAAUUCUUGGAUUUAUUGAAGACUAACUGCUGCUAAAGCAUUUGCCAAGGAUGUUUCCAUUAAUCAAGAACGAAAGUUAGGGGAUCGAAGACGAUCAGAUACCGUCGUAGUCUUAACCAUAAACUAUGCCGACUAGGGAUCGGAAGAUGUUAAUUUUUUAAUGACUCAUUCGGCGCCUUACGGGAAAC
RNAcentral lists this ribosomal RNA (549 nucleotides) under uncultured Glomus. RNAcentral describes it as "SSU rRNA". It matches the Rfam family "Eukaryotic small subunit ribosomal RNA", at positions 548 to 1098 of the family's 1831-position model. Lineage: Eukaryota; Fungi; Glomeromycota; Glomeromycetes; Glomerales; Glomeraceae. The record is from RNAcentral.